ACGAUGACAAAUUGGAUGAUCAAAAUUUAAGUUCUGGACAUCUCUGUUGAUGUAAAAAACACGGUGAAGAAUAAGACGAGUAGAACAAGACGAGUAGAAAAAAGACAUUUCGUAUUUCCUUUGAUGAUGAUGACAU
Molecule: small nucleolar RNA, 136 nt
Filed under: Arabidopsis lyrata subsp. lyrata
Lineage: Eukaryota; Viridiplantae; Streptophyta; Magnoliopsida; Brassicales; Brassicaceae
Description: Small nucleolar RNA snoR9
Rfam family: Small nucleolar RNA snoR9
About the family: snoR9 is a member of the C/D class of snoRNA which contain the C (UGAUGA) and D (CUGA) box motifs. Most of the members of the box C/D family function in directing site-specific 2'-O-methylation of substrate RNAs.
Source: Rfam by way of RNAcentral